UAGCGCCGUGGAACCACCUGAUCCCAUGCCGAACUCAGAAGUGAAACGCGGUAGCGCCGAUGGUAGUGUGGCAUUCGCCAUGCGAGAGUAGGACACUGUCAGGC
Molecule: ribosomal RNA, 104 nt
Filed under: Aeromonas hydrophila
Lineage: Bacteria; Pseudomonadati; Pseudomonadota; Gammaproteobacteria; Aeromonadales; Aeromonadaceae
Also listed under: 1 other name
Source: RNAcentral